Myodes glareolus (Bank vole) is the source of this 3662-nucleotide non-coding RNA. Lineage: Eukaryota; Metazoa; Chordata; Mammalia; Rodentia; Cricetidae. The record is from RefSeq and is a predicted model, not a curated record.
CAAAAAGAGGAGCCAGAAGGUGAAGAAGGGUCGUCUUGGAAUUUGGAGCCAGCAGAGAAUAGGAAAGUGAAACCAAUAGGAGAGGGGAUCUGCUAUUCAGCAGGUGAAGGCAAUGCUCACUCUGCCCCCUGAGAGCCCACCAGGAGAGGACAGAAGGUGGGCUACACGGUGUCCCUGCCAAUCACAAGGGAAAAUGCCAUAGAAGUUGCUGAUUAAGAACCAUGAGAAGCAAAGGGCAGAGGCUCAGGAAAUCCACUGUAAAGGAAGGCCACCUGCAUCCAAACUGAUCAGAAAGAGGGCACAUGGGGGGAAAAAAAAGCAGUCCCAAGAUGGAGUCUCGUCGAUACCAGCCAGGCAAGUAUCUAACCGUGGCUAGUCUCCACACCCCAGCCCACCUGACCUCUGGUCUCCUCCCCAGUGCCCUGGAUGUGUGUGCUUUAGUAAGAAAGUGAUGGUCGUUGCUUCCAAUCUGGAGUGAAAUGCAGGCCACAGAAAGAUGCUUGGGCUCACCCUCAGUUCCAAACAUGCAUAGUGACGCGGGAGUCUCUUACGGCCCUCGCUCCCCCAGACAGAGUUCUGCAAGCUGAACAGGAAGAGGCUCUCAGCUGUGUCCUUGUCCCACUUCUCCCCCUUCUACUCUCCUGCCUUCCUUGAUUGACGACCAUUGUUAAUAACUCCCAGCCCUCGCACUGGCAUCGCCUUUGCCCUAGAAAACCCUGCACUGCCGAAAGUACCGAGAAAUUGAAACCUCCCCCUUAAGAAUACUGGGAACUGCCCAGGCCACUAAAGUAUUCAUGUCCAGUGAUCCACCAAAUGCCUGAGAGCCAGUGUGUCACCUAUGGUCACAACACCCUGAACAGGUGCAGGAGGCCAGAUCGCCAGGCUGGCACAGAACCCAGCACUCCGGGAGCCCAAGAGAGCACUCUCUCUCUCUCUCUCUCUCUCUCUCCCUCCCUCCCUCCCUCCCCACCCCUCUCUCCAGGACACACACUGGCCUGGAAUUCACCAUGCCCAACUACUACAGUCUUCAGUACUGAGCAAACCCAGGCAAACAAAGCCCCCACUGUGUGCCCCAUCCUCACAGAGCCUGUGGCCAGAGUCCCUUCGUGUGUGGACUCUGCUGCCCCAUUGAGAAGAUCUUGGCUGAAAAGGGACAGACUGCUCCCGUGCUAGAAGAGGGGGUGACGUGGAAGCAAAGGACAUCCUAGAGGAGCACGCGGCCCAGGAAUAAAGGCAGUAUACAAUACAUGUAAAUGACAGGCCUAAAAGGAGAGUCCUGGGGUCGUAGCUCAAGUGGUAGAGUACUUACCUACCGUGUAGGAGGCCUUAAGUUCGAUCCCCAGGACUAGCAGAGAAGGCAGAGGGAGAGAAGGAAGGGAGGGGGAAAGGAGGAGAGAGGGAGGGAGGGAGGGGGGAGAGGAGGAGAGAGGAGUUCUAGUCCAUCAUGCCCACAGGAUCUCCAGUAUUCCUAUUUCCCAGAAGUAAUCAUGAAUUUACAUAGUCACCUUUUAGUCCUUCUGGUUAAACCCAUACAGAUCAACAGCCUGUGUUGUACCACAAACCAAGCAGAACAGAUGGAAUCCAGAAACUUCUUGGAGUGGCCUCACCUGAGCCAUGCAGUGAGGAGCCCAGGGCGCCUGGUUUCCCUCUGUGCUCAUCCCUAUGAACGGCUCAUCCCGAUGACUGGCGAGGACCGCUAACUCUAGGAGCACCGCUAUCCUUUAAGAAAACCCGAAAUGCACAGUGAGCUGUAUUUCGUCCUUGAAGACGAAACACUGGGCAGAUUAGAGAGAGUACAAAAAGGCCUUUUGUAGACUCUCUGCCCCCUGCUAAUUGCUGGAGACAAUAUAGGGCACGUGGUUCUGCACACUCGGAAGACUCCUGUGGUGUGUUUUCCUUGCUGCCUGAGCUGGACGCAAGCUGCUGUGCUUUUGUGUGGAUCAACAGAAAGCAGACCAACAGCGCCAACAGGAAAGAGCUAGCCGCAGCCGUGUCUGUGUGCACGUUCCCCUCUGCCCUUAGCAUCCUAAAGGGUUUUGACCUUCCAGCCUGGAGUGAGGGUGUGAUUCUCUGCCCUUGGGACAAGUGGGGAAGCAGAGGCAUUGUGAGUAGGGGCCUCCCUCAAAGCUUCAAAGUCGGCUAAUGGGGCUGGGAUCUUGGGGUUCAGCAUGGCCUCUGCCUUGACCAGCUGGUCACUGCGGAGGGCGGAGUCUUUCUCACAGCCUUCUCUGUCUUCUUCCUUGUUUCUCUAUUAAGUCUAUUUUCAACAGUGCUUAACUUGUCCUUUUUGUUUUUAAAUUUUAAAGUUACAUUAUUUAUUUACUCACUGGGGGCUGUGUCGGGUCAGAAGCCCUGGAGUCAGUUUUUUCCUUCACCAGGAAUCAAAUUUAAAUCAUCACGCUUAGUAGCAAGUGAACUACUUUUAGCCACUGACCCCCCCCCUUUUUUAUUCAUGACUGGUUUUGCUUUUUUGGAGACAGGGUCUCAUAUAGCCAAGGCUAGUCCCAAACUCACUGUGUGGCUACUGAGAAUACCCUCCUGAUCAUCCUACCUCGGUCUCGCAAGCACUGGGGUUACAAGUAUGCACCACCGCACCUGGCCUUAAAAUGCAUUGUUUUUUAUCAGUAGUGGGGAUUGAAUCCAGGGCCUAUCGAAGGUGAAGGCGAGCGCUCUUCCUCCAACUCACAUCCCCAGCUCUCACAUCCUCCUUCUUAAAGCAACCUCCCCACACCCCCAGGACUGUCCUUUUCCUUUCAAUUUCACAUUUAAAUGGCUGAACCAAUAAAGUUCCAUAUGAGCACAAACAAAGACAUCAUGAGACAAGAGAGCCAUGUCUGACGCUGUUUGACCAAGAAAGCAGUUAAGUCAGAACCCAGAGUGUUUUACAAGGUGUCCCGUUGUCCUUGCCCGUCCACCCCCUUACUGAGACUGUGGAUCCUUCUGUAAGAGGGAGACACCAACAGGACAGCAUUCCUCUAUGUACCCCGUAACAGGCAUCCUUGAGCUCACCAUAUUCAAUCCCAUAAUGCCCCUCUCCCAUCACAACUCCAUCACAGCACUGCUGCUCUUUUCCCAGGAUUGGUUAUCUGAGAUCUCCCGAAAAAACAAAGCAAAACAAAAACCCAGGAGGCCAUUGCCAACAGGUGUUCACGAACCAAAGGCCUGGAUCCUAGGAACCCCGGGACCAAGAACAGCCUCCUUGGUCGGUUGAUGGUGCACACUCCUUCCAGGGGUUCAUUUUUGGUCAUUGCCCAGGAAGGACAGGAGGGUAGCAAUGUGCAAAUCUCUCUCUCUCUCUCUCUCUCUCUCUCUCUCUCUCUCUCUCUCACACACACACACACACACACACACACACACACACACACACACACACUGGGAUUUGGGGCCUUUGUUGUUGGUUGUUACUCUGUUCUCUCCUUUUCUCUCUCUCUUUUUAUAAGCUCAGGGAAGUGACGGUUGAUUAUGACUUAACACAACUUAAGAUUUAGAUUUUAGGAACGAAGCUCUACCCUAGGCAGAAUCAGGGCCUACUGAUGCAAGCUUUUAGCAGGGAAAGUGGACAACAGCCGCCAAAAGUCCACGUGUGAGUGCCCUUAGACCAGUGGUUCUUACAGAGUUCUCUACCCAAGGUCGUGGUGCACUGGGGAAACUAGGAAAGGGAA